This 771-nucleotide non-coding RNA is filed under the name Candidatus Regiella insecticola 5.15. RNAcentral describes it as "Candidatus Regiella insecticola R5.15 Bacterial small subunit ribosomal RNA". It matches the Rfam family "Bacterial small subunit ribosomal RNA", at positions 763 to 1533 of the family's 1533-position model. Lineage: Bacteria; Pseudomonadati; Pseudomonadota; Gammaproteobacteria; Enterobacterales; Enterobacteriaceae. The record is from Rfam by way of RNAcentral.
GGGUAGCAAACAGGAUUAGAUACCCUGGUAGUCCACGCUGUAAACGAUGUCGAUUUGGAGGUUGUGACCUAGUGUUAUGGCGUCCGAAGCUAACGCGAUAAAUCGACCGCCUGGGGAGUACGGCCGCAAGGUUAAAACUCAAAUGAAUUGACGGGGGCCCGCACAAGCGGUGGAGCAUGUGGUUUAAUUCGAUGCAACGCGAAGAACCUUACCUACUCUUGACAUCCACGGAAUUUGGCAGAGAUGCUUAAGUGCCUUCGGGAGCCGUGAGACAGGUGCUGCAUGGCUGUCGUCAGCUCGUGUUGUGAAAUGUUGGGUUAAGUCCCGCAACGAGCGCAACCCUUGUCCUUUGUUGCCAGCGCGUAAUGGUGGGAACUCAAAGGAGACUGCCGGUGAUAAACCGGAGGAAGGUGGGGAUGACGUCAAGUCAUCAUGGCCCUUACGAGUAGGGCUACACACGUGCUACAAUGGCGCAUACAAAGAGCGGCGAGCGUGCGAACGUAAGCGAACCUCAUAAAGUGCGUCGUAGUCCGGAUUGGAGUCUGCAACUCGACUCCAUGAAGUCGGAAUCGCUAGUAAUCGUGGAUCAGAAUGCCACGGUGAAUACGUUCCCGGGCCUUGUACACACCGCCCGUCACACCAUGGGAGUGGGCGGCAAAAGAAGUAGGUAGCUUAACCUUCGGGGGGGCGCUUACCACUUUGUGGUUCAUGACUGGGGUGAAGUCGUAACAAGGUAACCGUAGGGGAACCUGCGGUUGGAUCACCUCCUUA